RNAcentral lists this ribosomal RNA (724 nucleotides) under uncultured bacterium. RNAcentral describes it as "bacterial SSU rRNA". It matches the Rfam family "Bacterial small subunit ribosomal RNA", at positions 28 to 776 of the family's 1533-position model. The record is from RNAcentral.
GAUGAACGCUGACAGAAUGCUUAACACAUGCAAGUCUACUUGAUCCUUCGGGUGAUGGUGGCGGACGGGUGAGUAACGCGUAAAGAACUUGCCUUGCAGUCUGGGACAACGUCUGGAAACGGACGCUAAUACCGGAUAUUAUGAUUGAAUCGCAUGAUUUAAUUAUGAAAGCUAUAUGCGCUGCGAGAGAGCUUUGCGUCCCAUUAGUUAGUUGGUGAGGUAACGGCUCACCAAGACGAUGAUGGGUAGCCGGCCUGAGAGGGUGAACGGCCACAAGGGGACUGAGACACGGCCCUUACUCCUACGGGAGGCAGCAGUGGGGAAUAUUGGACAAUGGACCACAAGUCUGAUCCAGCAAUUCUGUGUGCACGAUGACGUUUUUCGGAAUGUAAAGUGCUUUCAGUCGGGAAGAAGUCAGUGACGGUACCGACAGAAGAAGCGACGGCUAAAUACGUGCCAGCAGCCGCGGUAAUACGUAUGUCGCAAGCGUUAUCCGGAUUUAUUGGGCGUAAAGCGCGUCUAGGCGGCAAGGAAAGUCUGAUGUGAAAAUGCGGAGCUCAACUCCGUAUGGCGUUGGAAACUGCCUUACUAGAGUACUGGAGAGGUAGGCGGAACUACAAGUGUAGAGGUGAAAUUCGUAGAUAUUUGUAGGAAUGCCGAUGGGGAAGCCAGCCUACUGGACAGAUACUGACGCUAAAGCGCGAAAGCGUGNGUAGCAAACAGG